Molecule: long non-coding RNA, 524 nt
Organism: Pseudophryne corroboree (corroboree frog)
Lineage: Eukaryota; Metazoa; Chordata; Amphibia; Anura; Myobatrachidae
Exons: 3
Source: RefSeq, a predicted model, not a curated record
CUGUAGGGGGAGCUGCAGCGGAAGCGCAGCUCCUCUCAGGCAGUUCAAGGGGCCAUGAGACAGAGCUACGUGAGGCAGUGGCUGCUGUCUUCGGCUCCCACAGUAAUGUAAGGAGGAGGCAGCUUCCGGGUCAUCAUGGGUCUUUGCGUUGUCCUAAGAACAAAACUCCCCAAAAAAAUUCUGUUGUGUCAGAAAGCUCCCGUGAGGUAAUAAUGAUGACCUCCAGUGUCUAGAUCUGCAUGGAGAGCAUGGUCUUUGAUCCAGGUUCUUUGAUACAGUCCUUUGUUUGUAGUCCUCUCCAGAACCAAAGUCCAUUGUGUCAUGAUGGUUAGAGAACUCCUGAGGUAACGGGAACUCCUCCGCGGAGGAAUGUGAUCUGCGCCCAAAUACUUUGUCCUGAAGUUCUGCAAUGUCAUUCCGGAUGUCUGCCAUCAUUAACAACAGGAAGUCGAAGGAUCCUGGGGGCCCCUGCAAAUACACACAGACAAUUUGAAAUUAAUAAUAAAAUAAAAAAAUGACACUGA